This 252-nucleotide ribosomal RNA is filed under the name uncultured bacterium. RNAcentral's name for it is "partial 16S ribosomal RNA". It matches the Rfam family "Bacterial small subunit ribosomal RNA", at positions 524 to 776 of the family's 1533-position model. The record is from RNAcentral.
UACGUAGGUCCCGAGCGUUGUCCAGAUUUAUUGGGCGUAAAGCGAGCGCAGGUGGUUUAUUAAGUCUGGUGUAAAAGGCAGUGGCUCAACCAUUGUAUGCAUUGGAAACUGGUAGACUUGAGUGCAGGAGAGGAGAGUGGAAUUCCAUGUGUAGCGGUGAAAUGCGUAGAUAUAUGGAGGAACACCGGUGGCGAAAGCGGCUCUCUGGCCUGUAACUGACACUGAGGCUCGAAAGCAUGGGGAGCAAACAGG